This 141-nucleotide ribosomal RNA is filed under the name uncultured bacterium. RNAcentral's name for it is "partial 16S rRNA". It matches the Rfam family "Bacterial small subunit ribosomal RNA", at positions 355 to 511 of the family's 1533-position model. The record is from RNAcentral.
UGGGGAAUUUUCCGCAAUGGGCGAAAGCCUGACGGAGCAAUGCCGCGUGGAGGUGGAAGGCCUACGGGUCGUCAACUUCUUUUCUCGGAGAAGAAACAAUGACGGUAUCUGAGGAAUAAGCAUCGGCUAACUCUGUGCCAA